Molecule: ribosomal RNA, 508 nt
Filed under: uncultured bacterium
Lineage: Bacteria
Description: SSU rRNA
Rfam family: Bacterial small subunit ribosomal RNA
Source: RNAcentral
AGGACGAACGCUGGCGGCGCGCUUAACACAUGCAAGUCGAGCGAGAACCGGUCCUUCGGGACCGGGGAAAGCGGCGAACGGGUGAGUAACACGUGGGUAAUCAACCCUCGGUACCGGGAUAGCCCGAGGAAACUCGGAUUAAUACCGGAUGGCCCAGCAGCUCUUCGGGGCGGCUGGAAAAGGUAGCUUCGGCCUCCGACCGAGGACGAGCCCGCGGCGGAUUAGCUUGUUGGUGGGGUAAUGGCCCACCAAGGCGACGAUCCGUAGCUGGUCUGAGAGGACGAUCAGCCACACUGGGACUGAGACACGGCCCAGACUCCUACGGGAGGCAGCAGUGGGGAAUCUUGUACAAUGGGCGAAAGCCUGAUGCAGCGACGCCGCGUGAGGGAAGAAGGCUUUCGGGUGUAAACCUCUUUCAGGAGGGACGAAGCUACUCGGGUUAAUAGCCCAGAGGGUGACGGUACCUCCAGAAGAAGCCCGGCUAACUACGCGCCAGCAGCCGCGGUAA